RNAcentral lists this transfer RNA (72 nucleotides) under Vicugna pacos (alpaca). It matches the Rfam family "tRNA". From Rfam's summary of the family: Transfer RNA (tRNA) molecules are approximately 80 nucleotides in length. Their secondary structure includes four short double-helical elements and three loops (D, anti-codon, and T loops). Lineage: Eukaryota; Metazoa; Chordata; Mammalia; Artiodactyla; Camelidae. RNAcentral also lists the same sequence under 1 other name. The record is from Rfam by way of RNAcentral.
GAGGGUAUAGCUCAGUGGUAGAGUGCAUGCCUAGCAUGUACAAGGUCCUAGGUUGAAUCCCCAAUACCUCCA